AAGAAACUGAAGUGAAGCUGAAAGAAUUAGUGAACUCGAAGGUUGGCUGCUGCUCUGUUCCAUGUCACCUUCAGGCCAGCACCCGAGCUGAUGGAGCAUCCAGAAUAUUGCUGGUUGUUCCAACAUAAGGCUGAGGAAGAGGAGGAGGAAGAGGAAGGGUUGAUCUUGCU
Microcebus murinus (gray mouse lemur) is the source of this 170-nucleotide non-coding RNA. The record is from RefSeq and is a predicted model, not a curated record. Lineage: Eukaryota; Metazoa; Chordata; Mammalia; Primates; Cheirogaleidae.